CCUACGGGAGGCAGCAGUGAGGAAUAUUGGUCAAUGGACGAGAGUCUGAACCAGCCAAGUAGCGUGAAGGAUGACUGCCCUAUGGGUUGUAAACUUCUUUUAUAUGGGAAUAAAAUGUUCCACGUGUGGGAUUUUGUAUGUACCAUAUUAAUAAGGAUCGGCUAACUCCGUGCCAGCAGCCGCGGUAAUACGGAGGAUCCGAGCGUUAUCCGGAUUUAUUGGGUUUAAAGGGAGCGUAGGUGGAUUGUUAAGUCAGUUGUGAAAGUUUGCGGCUCAACCGUAAAAUUGCAGUUGAAACUGGCAGUCUUGAGUACAGUAGAGGUGGGCGGAAUUCGUGGUGUAGCGGUGAAAUGCUUAGAUAUCACGAAGAACUCCGAUUGCGAAGGCAGUUCACUGGACUGCAACUGACACUGAGGCUCGAAAGUGUGGGUAUCAAACAGGAUUAGAUACCCGAGUAGUC
This 460-nucleotide ribosomal RNA is filed under the name uncultured bacterium. Its description in RNAcentral is "partial 16S ribosomal RNA". It matches the Rfam family "Bacterial small subunit ribosomal RNA", at positions 338 to 795 of the family's 1533-position model. The record is from RNAcentral.